GAUCUCGAAAACCUGUCCCAGUUCGGACUGGAGUCUGCAACCCGACUCCACGAAGUUGGAUUCGCUAGUAAUCGCGCAUCAGCCAUGGCGCGGUGAAUACGUUCCCGGGCCUUGUACACACCGCCCCGUCAAGCCAUGGGGAGCCGGGGGCGCCUGAAGUCCGGGACCGCGAGGACCGGCCUAGGGCGAAACUGGUAACUGGGGCUAAGUCGUAACAAGGUAAC
Molecule: ribosomal RNA, 224 nt
Filed under: uncultured bacterium
Lineage: Bacteria
Description: partial 16S ribosomal RNA
Rfam family: Bacterial small subunit ribosomal RNA
Source: RNAcentral